ACCCUCCUUGCAUAAUGGAGAUGCAGAGGCCUUCUAAGCCCCUUAUAGGAGUUCGAUUCUCUUGGAGGGUA
Molecule: transfer RNA, 71 nt
Filed under: Crassvirales sp.
Lineage: Duplodnaviria; Heunggongvirae; Uroviricota; Caudoviricetes; Crassvirales
Description: tRNA-Arg
Rfam family: tRNA
About the family: Transfer RNA (tRNA) molecules are approximately 80 nucleotides in length. Their secondary structure includes four short double-helical elements and three loops (D, anti-codon, and T loops). Further hydrogen bonds mediate the characteristic L-shaped molecular structure. tRNAs have two regions of fundamental functional importance: the anti-codon, which is responsible for specific mRNA codon recognition, and the 3' end, to which the tRNAs corresponding amino acid is attached (by aminoacyl-tRNA synthetases). tRNAs cope with the degeneracy of the genetic code in two manners: having more than one tRNA (with a specific anti-codon) for a particular amino acid; and 'wobble' base-pairing, i.e. permitting non-standard base-pairing at the 3rd anti-codon position.
Source: RNAcentral